GGUUAAGCGACUAAGCGUACACGGUGGAUGCCCUGGCAGUCAGAGGCGAUGAAGGACGUGCUAAUCUGCGAUAAGCGUCGGUAAGGUGAUAUGAACCGUUAUAACCGGCGAUUUCCGAAUGGGGAAACCCAGUGUGUUUCGACACACUAUCAUUAACUGAAUCCAUAGGUUAAUGAGGCGAACCGGGGGAACUGAAACAUCUAAGUACCCCGAGGAAAAGAAAUCAACCGAGAUUCCCCCAGUAGCGGCGAGCGAACGGGGAGCAGCCCAGAGCCUGAAUCAGUGUGUGUGUUAGUGGAAGCGUCUGGAAAGGCGCGCGAUACAGGGUGACAGCCCCGUACACAAAAAUGCACAUGCUGUGAGCUCGAUGAGUAGGGCGGGACACGUGGUAUCCUGUCUGAAUAUGGGGGGACCAUCCUCCAAGGCUAAAUACUCCUGACUGACCGAUAGUGAACCAGUACCGUGAGGGAAAGGCGAAAAGAACCCCGGCGAGGGGAGUGAAAAAGAACCUGAAACCGUGUACGUACAAGCAGUGGGAGCACGCUUAGGCGUGUGACUGCGUACCUUUUGUAUAAUGGGUCAGCGACUUAUAUUCUGUAGCAAGGUUAACCGAAUAGGGGAGCCGAAGGGAAACCGAGUCUUAACUGGGCGUUAAGUUGCAGGGUAUAGACCCGAAACCCGGUGAUCUAGCCAUGGGCAGGUUGAAGGUUGGGUAACACUAACUGGAGGACCGAACCGACUAAUGUUGAAAAAUUAGCGGAUGACUUGUGGCUGGGGGUGAAAGGCCAAUCAAACCGGGAGAUAGCUGGUUCUCCCCGAAAGCUAUUUAGGUAGCGCCUCGUGAAUUCAUCUCCGGGGGUAGAGCACUGUUUCGGCAAGGGGGUCAUCCCGACUUACCAACCCGAUGCAAACUGCGAAUACCGGAGAAUGUUAUCACGGGAGACACACGGCGGGUGCUAACGUCCGUCGUGAAGAGGGAAACAACCCAGACCGCCAGCUAAGGUCCCAAAGUCAUGGUUAAGUGGGAAACGAUGUGGGAAGGCCCAGACAGCCAGGAUGUUGGCUUAGAAGCAGCCAUCAUUUAAAGAAAGCGUAAUAGCUCACUGGUCGAGUCGGCCUGCGCGGAAGAUGUAACGGGGCUAAACCAUGCACCGAAGCUGCGGCAGCGACGCUUAUGCGUUGUUGGGUAGGGGAGCGUUCUGUAAGCCUGUGAAGGUGUGCUGUGAGGCAUGCUGGAGGUAUCAGAAGUGCGAAUGCUGACAUAAGUAACGAUAAAGCGGGUGAAAAGCCCGCUCGCCGGAAGACCAAGGGUUCCUGUCCAACGUUAAUCGGGGCAGGGUGAGUCGACCCCUAAGGCGAGGCCGAAAGGCGUAGUCGAUGGGAAACAGGUUAAUAUUCCUGUACUUGGUGUUACUGCGAAGGGGGGACGGAGAAGGCUAUGUUGGCCGGGCGACGGUUGUCCCGGUUUAAGCGUGUAGGCUGGUUUUCCAGGCAAAUCCGGAAAAUCAAGGCUGAGGCGUGAUGACGAGGCACUACGGUGCUGAAGCAACAAAUGCCCUGCUUCCAGGAAAAGCCUCUAAGCAUCAGGUAACAUCAAAUCGUACCCCAAACCGACACAGGUGGUCAGGUAGAGAAUACCAAGGCGCUUGAGAGAACUCGGGUGAAGGAACUAGGCAAAAUGGUGCCGUAACUUCGGGAGAAGGCACGCUGAUAUGUAGGUGAAGUCCCUUGCGGAUGGAGCUGAAAUCAGUCGAAGAUACCAGCUGGCUGCAACUGUUUAUUAAAAACACAGCACUGUGCAAACACGAAAGUGGACGUAUACGGUGUGACGCCUGCCCGGUGCCGGAAGGUUAAUUGAUGGGGUUAGCGGUAACGCGAAGCUCUUGAUCGAAGCCCCGGUAAACGGCGGCCGUAACUAUAACGGUCCUAAGGUAGCGAAAUUCCUUGUCGGGUAAGUUCCGACCUGCACGAAUGGCGUAAUGAUGGCCAGGCUGUCUCCACCCGAGACUCAGUGAAAUUGAACUCGCUGUGAAGAUGCAGUGUACCCGCGGCAAGACGGAAAGACCCCGUGAACCUUUACUAUAGCUUGACACUGAACAUUGAGCCUUGAUGUGUAGGAUAGGUGGGAGGCUUUGAAGUGUGGACGCCAGUCUGCAUGGAGCCGACCUUGAAAUACCACCCUUUAAUGUUUGAUGUUCUAACGUUGACCCGUAAUCCGGGUUGCGGACAGUGUCUGGUGGGUAGUUUGACUGGGGCGGUCUCCUCCUAAAGAGUAACGGAGGAGCACGAAGGUUGGCUAAUCCUGGUCGGACAUCAGGAGGUUAGUGCAAUGGCAUAAGCCAGCUUGACUGCGAGCGUGACGGCGCGAGCAGGUGCGAAAGCAGGUCAUAGUGAUCCGGUGGUUCUGAAUGGAAGGGCCAUCGCUCAACGGAUAAAAGGUACUCCGGGGAUAACAGGCUGAUACCGCCCAAGAGUUCAUAUCGACGGCGGUGUUUGGCACCUCGAUGUCGGCUCAUCACAUCCUGGGGCUGAAGUAGGUCCCAAGGGUAUGGCUGUUCGCCAUUUAAAGUGGUACGCGAGCUGGGUUUAGAACGUCGUGAGACAGUUCGGUCCCUAUCUGCCGUGGGCGCUGGAGAAUUGAGGGGGGCUGCUCCUAGUACGAGAGGACCGGAGUGGACGCAUCACUGGUGUUCGGGUUGUCAUGCCAAUGGCACUGCCCGGUAGCUAAAUGCGGAAGAGAUAAGUGCUGAAAGCAUCUAAGCACGAAACUUGCCCCGAGAUGAGUUCUCCCUGACUCCUUGAGAGUCCUGAAGGAACGUUGAAGACGACGACGUUGAUAGGCCGGGUGUGUAAGCGCAGCGAUGCGUUGAGCUAACCGGUACUAAUGAACCGUGAGGCUUAACCUU
Molecule: ribosomal RNA, 2906 nt
Filed under: Escherichia coli
Lineage: Bacteria; Pseudomonadati; Pseudomonadota; Gammaproteobacteria; Enterobacterales; Enterobacteriaceae
Description: 23S ribosomal RNA
Rfam family: Bacterial large subunit ribosomal RNA
Source: RNAcentral